This 886-nucleotide ribosomal RNA is filed under the name uncultured bacterium. Its description in RNAcentral is "bacterial SSU rRNA". It matches the Rfam family "Bacterial small subunit ribosomal RNA", at positions 1 to 863 of the family's 1533-position model. The record is from RNAcentral.
CUGACUGUGGGCUGGAUUCGCCCUUAGAGUUUGAUCCUGGCUCAGAUUGAACGCUGGCGGCAGGCUUAACACAUGCAAGUCGAGCGGGGAAAGGUAGCUUGCUACCUGACCUAGCGGCGGACGGGUGAGUAAUGCUUAGGAAUCUGCCUAUUAGUGGGGGACAACAUUCCGAAAGGAAUGCUAAUACCGCAUACGCCCUACGGGGGAAAGCAGGGGAUCUUCGGACCUUGCGCUAAUAGAUGAGCCUAAGUCAGAUUAGCUAGUUGGUGGGGUAAAGGCCUACCAAGGCGACGAUCUGUAGCGGGUCCGAGAGGAUGAUCCGCCACACUGGGACUGAGACACGGCCCAGACUCCUACGGGAGGCAGCAGUGGGGAAUAUUGGACAAUGGGCGAAAGCCUGAUCCAGCCAUGCCGCGUGUGUGAAGAAGGCCUUUUGGUUGUAAAGCACUUUAAGCGAGGAGGAGGCUACCGAGAUUAAUACUCUUGGAUAGUGGACGUUACUCGCAGAAUAAGCACCGGCUAAYUCUGUGCCAGCAGCCGCGGUAAUACAGAGGGUGCGAGCGUUAAUCGGAUUUMCUGGGCGUAAAGCGUGCGUAGGCGGCUUUUUAAGUCGGAUGUGAAAUCCCUGAGCUUAACUUAGGAAUUGCAUUCGAUACUGGGAAGCUAGAGUAUGGGAGAGGAUGGUAGAAUUCCAGGUGUAGCGGUGAAAUGUGUAGAGAUCUGGAGGAAUACCGAUGGCGAAGGCAGCCAUCUGGCCUAAUACUGACGAUGAGGUACGAAAGCAUGGGGAGCAAACAGGAUUAGAUACCCUGGUAGUCCAUGCCGUAAACGAUGUAUACUAGCCGUCGGGGCCUUUGAGGCUUUAGCGGCGCAGCUAACGCGAUAA